RNAcentral lists this ribosomal RNA (750 nucleotides) under Nocardiopsis prasina. RNAcentral's name for it is "bacterial SSU rRNA". It matches the Rfam family "Bacterial small subunit ribosomal RNA", at positions 95 to 843 of the family's 1533-position model. Lineage: Bacteria; Bacillati; Actinomycetota; Actinomycetes; Streptosporangiales; Nocardiopsidaceae. The record is from RNAcentral.
GCGGCGAACGGGUGAGUAACACGUGAGCAACCUGCCCCUGACUCCGGGAUAAGCGGUGGAAACGCCGUCUAAUACCGGAUACGACCCUCCGCCUCAUGGCGUGUGGGUGGAAAGUUUUAUCGGUCAGGGAUGGGCUCGCGGCCUAUCAGCUAGUUGGUGGGGUAAAGGCCUACCAAGGCGAUUACGGGUAGCCGGCCUGAGAGGGCGACCGGCCACACUGGGACUGAGACACGGCCCAGACUCCUGCGGGAGGCAGCAGUGGGGAAUAUUGCACAAUGGGCGAAAGCCUGAUGCAGCGACGCCGCGUGGGGGAUGACGGCCUUCGGGUUGUAAACCUCUUUUACCACCAACGCAGGCUCCACGUUCUCGUGGGGUUGACGGUAGGUGGGGAAUAAGGACCGGCUAACUACGUGCCAGCAGCCGCGGUAAUACGUAGGGUCCGAGCGUUGUCCGGAAUUAUUGGGCGUAAAGAGCUCGUAGGCGGCGUGUCGCGUCUGCUGUGAAAGACCGGGGCUUAACUCCGGUUCUGCAGUGGAUACGGGCAUGCUAGAGGUAGGUAGGGGAGACUGGAAUUCCUGGUGUAGCGGUGAAAUGCGCAGAUAUCAGGAGGAACACCGGUGGCGAAGGCGGGUCUCUGGGCCUUACCUGACGCUGAGGAGCGAAAGCAUGGGGAGCGAACAGGAUUAGAUACCCUGGUAGUCCAUGCCGUAAACGUUGGGCGCUAGGUGUGGGGACUUUCCACGGUUUCCG